Molecule: unclassified non-coding RNA, 1168 nt
Filed under: Mizuhopecten yessoensis (Yesso scallop)
Lineage: Eukaryota; Metazoa; Mollusca; Bivalvia; Pectinida; Pectinidae
Description: uncharacterized LOC110452388, transcript variant X1
Source: RNAcentral
GUCCAGUUCGCUGUAGACGCAUCUGAUACAGUAGAGGGAUAUAGGUAAAAUGAAGGCCACGCUGGUAACCGUCCUGUUGAUAUUUGGUGCUGUUACAGCGACCAAAGAUAUACACAAACGAGAAAAGAGACAGGCAGGAUGGGGAUCACAAAAUCGAGGUAGCGUGCCCACGCCAACAUGGGUGCCGACUACCAUAGGAACACAGGCUAACUUCGGUGGUGGUCAAAACUGGGGUAAUACCCAACCCACACCGGUAAGAUUCCCUUCAAGGUUCAACAAUAUGGCGCGGUCUAGAAAUAGUCUUCAGGCUCCUCCGACGUCCGCAAAUCCAACAUCUUCUUCUCGAAAUCGUGAUACAGGACUCUCAAAUCGUUCAAAAUCUGUAGGAAGCUCUCGGUCACCUCCUAUCGCUGGACGUGGGAAUUCCGGAGGAGGUCGGGGAUCGCCAACAAGACCUGCUCCAACUCAACCUGUACCAACCUACCCGCCCACUAUGCCUCCACGGCCCGUACGGAAAUCAAGACGAAAUAGACACAGGUCGCAAAACAAAUCACGCGCACCGCAAUCAAAUUUCGGAAUGGCAAACAUAGUUCCACCAUCGUUUUUACAAGGAUUAGGACGUGCUAUGGCUGAUAAACUGAGAACCAUGUGGAUAAAUCCCCUUUACCAACAACAAGCAAAGGCUGCCGGAGAUAACUUCGUUGUCAACCCAAGUCCGGUAAAUCUGGGUUAUCACGUAUGUCCCCCUGGUAUCAAAAAAGAAACAUGUGUCUACAACCCGUGUCCACGAUGUCUUAAUCAACUUAUCAGAUGUUGGACAAACCCAUGCGGCGGAUGCACAGGAGAAAUGUACUUACGUAAACAGAGGAUCCACGACUGUGAGACAAUUUAAAGGCUACAAAUCAAACUAUGUGUGAUCAAACGGUAUGUCGGAGCAUAUGAGAGGAGGUACAUAUCAAGUUCAAGGUUCUUCAAUUAAAGAAAUGGAUUGUCUUUGUGUAGUUUGCGAGUUGCAUCCCCGAGGAAAACCAGCAUUUAUAGAUUGAGUGCUUUAAUUAUAUACAAAUGUAAAGAAUUUUUACCAAAUAUUUACGUAGAAUUUAUAUAUUUAUGCAUUUUCGCUAUUAAGACAUUUAUUCUGUAACAUCUAAUAACAUGGAAUAAAUAU